AGCGAACGCUGGCGGCAUGCCUAACACAUGCAAGUCGCACGGGGGGGCUUCGGCCUCCCAGUGGCGGACGGGUGAGGAACGCGUAGGGACCUGUCGAGGGGUGGGGGAUAACCGCGGGAAACUGCGGCUAAUACCGCAUGACGCCGCGGCGUGACAGCCGGGGCCAAAGGCGAAAGCCGCCCGCCGAGGGGCCUGCGUCCGAUUAGCUGGUUGGCAGGGUAGCGGCCCACCAAGGCGUCGAUCGGUAGCUGGUCUGAGAGGGUGAUCAGCCACACCGGGACUGAGACACGGCCCGGACUCCUACGGGAGGCAGCAGUGGGGAAUAUUGGACAAUGGGCGCAAGCCUGAUCCAGCAAUGCCGCGUGGGUGAAGAAGGUCUUCGGAUUGUAAAGCCCUUUCGGCGGGGACGAUGGUGACGGUACCCGCAGAAGAAGCCCCGGCUAACUUCGUG
Molecule: ribosomal RNA, 451 nt
Filed under: uncultured bacterium
Lineage: Bacteria
Description: partial 16S ribosomal RNA
Rfam family: Bacterial small subunit ribosomal RNA
Source: RNAcentral